CGCCAGCUAAGGUCCCAAAGUCAUGGUUAAGUGGGAAACGAUGUGGGAAGGCCCAGACAGCCAGGAUGUUGGCUUAGAAGCAGCCAUCAUUUAAAGAAAGCGUAAUAGCUCACUGGUCGAGUCGGCCUGCGCGGAAGAUGUAACGGGGCUAAACCAUGCACCGAAGCUGCGGCAGCGACACUCAGGUGUUGUUGGGUAGGGGAGCGUUCUGUAAGCCUGCGAAGGUGGCCUGUGAGGGUUGCUGGAGGUAUCAGAAGUGCGAAUGCUGACAUAAGUAACGAUAAAGCGGGUGAAAAGCCCGCUCGCCGGAAGACCAAGGGUUCCUGUCCAACGUUAAUCGGGGCAGGGUGAGUCGACCCCUAAGGCGAGGCCGAAAGGCGUAGUCGAUGGGAAACGGGUUAAUAUUCCCGUACUUGGUGUUACUGCGAAGGGGGGACGGAGAAGGCUAUGUUGGCCGGGCGACGGUUGUCCCGGUUUAAGCGUGUAGGUGUGUGUUCCAGGUAAAUCCGGUUCACUUUAACACUGAGGCGUGAUGACGAGGCACUACGGUGCUGAAGCAACAAAUGCCCUGCUUCCAGGAAAAGCCUCUAAGCAUCAGGUAACAUCAAAUCGUACCCCAAACCGACACAGGUGGUCAGGUAGAGAAUACCAAGGCGCUUGAGAGAACUCGGGUGAAGGAACUAGGCAAAAUGGUGCCGUAACUUCGGGAGAAGGCACGCUGACACGUAGGUGAAGUGAUUUACUCAUGGAGCUGAAGUCAGUCGAAGAUACCAGCUGGCUGCAACUGUUUAUUAAAAACACAGCACUGUGCAAACACGAAAGUGGACGUAUACGGUGUGACGCCUGCCCGGUGCCGGAAGGUUAAUUGAUGGGGUCAGCGCAAGCGAAGCUCCUGAUCGAAGCCCCGGUAAACGGCGGCCGUAACUAUAACGGUCCUAAGGUAGCGAAAUUCCUUGUCGGGUAAGUUCCGACCUGCACGAAUGGCGUAAUGAUGGCCAGGCUGUCUCCACCCGAGACUCAGUGAAAUUGAACUCGCUGUGAAGAUGCAGUGUACCCGCGGCAAGACGGAAAGACCCCGUGAACCUUUACUAUAGCUUGACACUGAACAUUGAGCCUUGAUGUGUAGGAUAGGUGGGAGGCUUUGAAGUGUGGACGCCAGUCUGCAUGGAGCCGACCUUGAAAUACCACCCUUUAAUGUUUGAUGUUCUAACGUGGACCCGUAAUCCGGGUUGCGGACAGUGUCUGGUGGGUAGUUUGACUGGGGCGGUCUCCUCCUAAAGAGUAACGGAGGAGCACGAAGGUUGGCUAAUCCUGGUCGGACAUCAGGAGGUUAGUGCAAUGGCAUAAGCCAGCUUGACUGCGAGCGUGACGGCGCGAGCAGGUGCGAAAGCAGGUCAUAGUGAUCCGGUGGUUCUGAAUGGAAGGGCCAUCGCUCAACGGAUAAAAGGUACUCCGGGGAUAACAGGCUGAUACCGCCCAAGAGUUCAUAUCGACGGCGGUGUUUGGCACCUCGAUGUCGGCUCAUCACAUCCUGGGGCUGAAGUAGGUCCCAAGGGUAUGGCUGUUCGCCAUUUAAAGUGGUACGCGAGCUGGGUUUAGAACGUCGUGAGACAGUUCGGUCCCUAUCUGCCGUGGGCGCUGGAGAACUGAGGGGGGCUGCUCCUAGUACGAGAGGACCGGAGUGGACGCAUCACUGGUGUUCGGGUUGUCAUGCCAAUGGCACUGCCCGGUAGCUAAAUGCGGAAGAGAUAAGUGCUGAAAGCAUCUAAGCACGAAACUUGCCCCGA
Molecule: ribosomal RNA, 1787 nt
Filed under: Salmonella enterica subsp. enterica serovar Agona
Lineage: Bacteria; Pseudomonadati; Pseudomonadota; Gammaproteobacteria; Enterobacterales; Enterobacteriaceae
Description: partial 23S ribosomal RNA
Rfam family: Bacterial large subunit ribosomal RNA
Source: RNAcentral